Molecule: unclassified non-coding RNA, 200 nt
Filed under: Athelia sp.
Lineage: Eukaryota; Fungi; Basidiomycota; Agaricomycetes; Atheliales; Atheliaceae
Description: partial internal transcribed spacer 2
Source: RNAcentral
UUAAGUUCAGCGGGUAGUCCUACCUGAUUUGAGGCCAAAUGGUCAUAAAGUUGUCCGAAGACGAUUGUAUGCGGCACCUCGAUCCUAGCCAACAGCGCAACAUUUAUCACACUGAUGACCGAAACGGACCAAAGUCGAUUCCGCGAAUGCGUUUAAGAGGAGCCGACCCAUGAAAGGGGGCCAGCACGCUCCACAAUCCA